CGGGUGAGUAACGCGUGAGGAACCUGCCUCAAAGAGGGGGACAACAGUUGGAAACGACUGCUAAUACCGCAUAAGCCCACGGCUCGGCAUCGAGCAGAGGGAAAAGGAGUGGUCCGCUUUGAGAUGGCCUCGCGUCCGAUUAGCUAGUUGGUGAGGUAAUGGCCCACCAAGGCGACGAUCGGUAGCCGGACUGAGAGGUUGAACGGCCACAUUGGGACUGAGACACGGCCCAG
Molecule: ribosomal RNA, 233 nt
Filed under: uncultured bacterium
Lineage: Bacteria
Description: partial 16S ribosomal RNA
Rfam family: Bacterial small subunit ribosomal RNA
Source: RNAcentral